RNAcentral lists this ribosomal RNA (301 nucleotides) under uncultured bacterium. Its description in RNAcentral is "partial 16S ribosomal RNA". It matches the Rfam family "Bacterial small subunit ribosomal RNA", at positions 509 to 809 of the family's 1533-position model. The record is from RNAcentral.
CAGCAGCCGCGGUAACACGAAGGGGGCUAGCGUUGUUCGGAUUAACUGGGCGUAAAGGGUGCGUAGGCGGGUUUUUAAGUCAGAGGUGAAAUCCCAAGGCUCAACCUUGGAACUGCCUUUGAUACUGGAAAUCUUGAGUCCGGGAGAGGUGAGUGGAACUGCGAGUGUAGAGGUGAAAUUCGUUGAUAUUCGCAAGAACACCAGUGGCGAAGGCGGCUCACUGGCCCGGAACUGACGCUGAGGCACGAAAGCGUGGGGAGCAAACAGGAUUAGAUACCCCGGUAGUCCCUGUCUCUUAUAA